UUCCAGAGAAGUAGAAUGGUGUAUAUCAA
Molecule: non-coding RNA, 29 nt
Filed under: Mus musculus (house mouse)
Lineage: Eukaryota; Metazoa; Chordata; Mammalia; Rodentia; Muridae
Source: RNAcentral